Molecule: RNA transcript, 3376 nt
Organism: Pyrus x bretschneideri (Chinese white pear)
Lineage: Eukaryota; Viridiplantae; Streptophyta; Magnoliopsida; Rosales; Rosaceae
Exons: 6
Source: RefSeq, a predicted model, not a curated record
UACUCUCCUUUUCUCACUCUGAGCUCAUUUCCUAAAACCCUAGCACCGUUUCUCUCUCAGUUCCUAUCAAAUUCGAGAGAUUUCUCUCUCCAUUUCUCUCAACCUAGCCCCAGCGCUGCUCACCCCAUUCCUCUUCAUCAUCUCAGUUAAAUCCGUUGAACAAUCAACGAUGCACCUCCACACGACCCAUAUCGAAUUAUCCUCCUGCCUACGAACCAACCUCCAUUUCGUGGAUCCAUCAUCCUUGCAAGUCGCCGACACCCACAAAUGAACUCAGAUACCACCAUCAAAAGUAGGGUGGAGCUCUCGAAGAUGUCAGAUUUGAGAAGGGAAAAGGAGCGGAGCGGAAUGCGCGAGCUCUGCUUCCGGGCCUCCCCGAAACGCUUGCAGAAAGAUAGGUGCUUGGAUGGGAGUGGACGUAGGAGCAGGGAGUGUUGCGAGGAGGGGAAGUAGUAUCAUCAUCUGCUGUGUUGCAGUAGUGAAGGGAUCAGACGUCGGUAUGGCAUCUGCUAGCCUGGGGAAUGGUGGAGUUGGCAGUUCAAGCGGGCCUGGAAGUGAUUUUCCGGGAACAGGAAAGGUAAUUGAGAUUAGUCUCUUAUUGGUUGAUCAUCCUCUAUAUAUUUGAUGAAGCUUCAACUGGCUUCUACUAGACAACCCCUCAUUUCUUUAUGGUAAUUGAGCUUCAUCUCUAAUUGUUUAUUGUCUGAUUAGAUUAUUAUAAUAUUUGGGUUGUUGGAUAUGUUGGAUUUGAAUUGAAUUUUUGUUUUCAUUUUUCAUGGUGAUGGAUUUUCGAAUGAAAUGCACUCAACCCUGAAUUCCAGUGGGGGUGGCUGAAGCAGCUGCCGGAUAUGACUUAUGGCAGCCAAGGUUCCCUUAUUGUCAUGCUUUUAGUUUUAUUAAAUAUGACAAGUUGGUAUAAAUAUAUAUGUAUAUAGAGAACUUACAUCUCUUGAUAGAUUGUGUUGCUAGAUAGUUUUUCACGUUCCUGCUCAAAAUAAAGUUUAUCAUGUUAUUCUGUCCAACUAUUGAUUUGGAACAACGUUAUGUAAAUACUUUUCACACACCAUACUUAUAACACAUUAGUCCUGUAUUUGAAGACUUAUAUACAAUACUUAUAAUUUGGAUGAAGAGAUCCUGAUCUUUGUUUUUGGGAGUUUUUUAUGCUCUGCUUUUUGAGCGAAUCUUUGUUUAUCAUUUUUUAUCAUAACAUGGUCAUAUGGUGUUACUGUCCAUCCUUUUAGUUGUUAAAAUCUGCUUUUUUGAGUUGUACAUAGAACUCAUAACGUAGAACUAGAAAAAUGCAGGUGCAGAAUGAACGACUAAUCAAUGUGAGAGAAGGGUUCAAUUUUAAAUGGGUUGUUAUCAACCAUUGAAUUGCUUUUGGAGUUUUCAUUUGAUAAGAGAGAUGGGGGAUUCUUUUGGGUGAAACUUUUAAUCCGUGAGAUUUUUAGUUAGGUUGUGUUGUGGGUUUUUGCAAAUUUCUAUCGUGUUUGUGCAUGCAUUUUUUGUUAUAGAUUUGGAAGAAAAUAGCAUUACAGGAUGUUGAGGGUUUGUUGGUGGGGGAAGGCAGCAGCGUUAAGAUUUUGCAGGUGAGAUAUUAGGGUGAGAGAAAAAGGGGACAAAGAGCAUCGAAGACACAUUUGGGAUUAGGGGUAGCAAAACAAGGGAAAAGAAUAUGACAGAGGAAUGGACUCUUAAUUUUUUCUUAACUGGUUUGGGAUUUUUCUUGCCUUUGGUGUCAAUCGGUGUCUGUUUUUUCAUAAUUUUUAUUACUAAUUUUUAUGUCGUUUGCGAUUUUGUAUCCUAGGAUUUUUGAAUUUUAUUGUUCAUUAUCGGUUUUUUAAAAAAAAAAUUUGUCUUUGUUUGUUUGUUUUAUAUGUUGUGUUUGUGCUGGGACGCUGUUUUGCAAGUUCUCCUUCCAUUGGGACCGCUGCAUUUUUAAAGUGUUGAGGGGGAUCACUACAGUUUGGGAGUCAAAAUGACCACACUACCUCGUCAAGGGUUCAGAUCAUGCCGUCAGGUGAUAUGAGAGAGGGGGUUGGAUGGUAAUUUUGUCCAUAUGGUUUCGGACGGAUUGGGAUGAGUCAGGGACUUUGUUCAUUUAGUUUGUUUCUAAGAGAGAGAGAGAGGGGUGAGGAUGUCAGUGUCGAUCUUUGAUUCAGUGAGUGAGAGUGUGACAGUGAAAGAGAGGGGGAUCAUCGGGAUUUCAGGGAGAGAAACACAGAGAGAGGGGUGAUGGUGAACAAGCGCGAGUAUGGUCCCUUAGUCCGGGAGUCACUCUUCAUUGUCCAUACUGUAUUGCAUGCUCAGAUAAGUGUCUUUUUCAAUUACAUUUUGUACUAAAAUCUAUUUUUUUUAAUUGUUUCUUGCAUUUAUAUCUGCGUGAAUAUGGUGAUUGAAAAGCCCAAAAAAAAUUUUUUUGUACUGGUUUUGUUAGGUUAGGCAGCAUGGUUUUUGGUUAUUUUAUUGUUAUUUUUUAAAUCGGUUGGGGGAUUUUCUGGGCGUCUAUUUAAUUGUUUGCCCUUUGGUUUUUUUCAUUCUGGGUUCCCCUCUUUCAUUAGAGAGUACAAAAUUUCCAAAGGUAAACAUCCUAUCCCUUGCUUCGCUUUUCUGUCCAUAGCCAAUAAUCGGUGAAAUAAGUGUGGUUCUUGGAUCUGCGGUCUGAAACAAAAAAAUUUGUCUAUUCUCUGUGCCAGCUAAUGUAUCUAUGAUUUCUUUGCAGGACACUACUGCAACGCUCAAGUCUGUUUGGAAAAUGGAGAGCACACGACUUAAGUAUCUCAGACCCAAGGAGAACGAUUUAGAGCAAAUGACUCAAAAAGUUAAACUUCAAUAUCGAAAUUAAUGGAAACCCAUUGGUAUGAUUUCUUCAUCUGAAAUUUUUGAUUACCCAAUUGGUUGUUUCAUCAAUUAAUUGUGUGUAAACAUUUAUGUGUAAUUUUUUACUUCUUCCACUUAAAUGGUAAGAUCAAAUUAAGCUUAAGAACUUUGGGUUUUGUAAAUGUUGUGUAAUUAAAUUAUUCAUAUUGUCAAUUAAUUUUGAGCAAACAUUAUGGGUAGUUGUUAAUUUCCCUCAAUAUUUGAUAAUAAUUAAACUAAAGCUGAGAACUUUGUAUUUUGUUCAUUACCUGACGUAGAUUUUACUUGACAGAGAAUGUACUUUCCUUGAUAUUAUUCAUGUUUUGUUUUCUUUCAUAUCGCGUUGUAAUGGGUCUCUUUGGAAAAACAAUUCUUAAGACCAAUUGUGAGGUUUGUUCUUACAUGGUACAUGAGUGUUUUUAUAAUUCUUUUGCACAGUUGUUAGUAUUUGUAGUUGUGAUUGGUGUUGUCCUAAAUGUUUGACUUGAAGAAAUAAGACACUACUUUUGAUGAACCA